This 253-nucleotide ribosomal RNA is filed under the name uncultured bacterium. RNAcentral describes it as "partial 16S ribosomal RNA". It matches the Rfam family "Bacterial small subunit ribosomal RNA", at positions 524 to 776 of the family's 1533-position model. The record is from RNAcentral.
UACGAAGGGGGCUAGCGUUGUUCGGAUUUACUGGGCGUAAAGCGCACGUAGGCGGAUCGAUCAGUCAGGGGUGAAAUCCCAGGGCUCAACCCUGGAACUGCCUUUGAUACUGUCGAUCUGGAGUAUGGAAGAGGUGAGUGGAAUUCCGAGUGUAGAGGUGAAAUUCGUAGAUAUUCGCAGGAACACCAGUGGCGAAGGCGGCUCACUGGUCCGGAACUGACGCUGAGGUGCGAAAGCGUGGGGAGCAAACAGG